This 87-nucleotide transfer RNA is filed under the name Kamptonema sp. SIO4C4. Its description in RNAcentral is "tRNA-Ser". It matches the Rfam family "tRNA". Rfam says of the family: Transfer RNA (tRNA) molecules are approximately 80 nucleotides in length. RNAcentral also lists the same sequence under 1 other name. The record is from RNAcentral. Lineage: Bacteria; Bacillati; Cyanobacteriota; Cyanophyceae; Oscillatoriales; Microcoleaceae.
GGAGAGGUGGCAGAGUGGUUGAAUGCGGCGGUCUCGAAAACCGCUAAGGUGUAACAGCCUUCGAGGGUUCGAAUCCCUCCCUCUCCG